Molecule: ribosomal RNA, 367 nt
Filed under: uncultured organism
Description: bacterial LSU rRNA
Rfam family: Bacterial large subunit ribosomal RNA
Source: RNAcentral
CUUUACUGUAGCCUGGUAUUGGGUUCGGGCUUUGACUGCGCAGGAUAGGUGGAGACUGAGAAGUGUGCCUUGUGGGGCACAUAGAGUCAACGGUGAGAUACCACUCUGUCAGAGCUAGAAUCCUGACCUUCACCCGUGAUCCGGGGAAGGAACCGUAUCAGGUGGGCAGUUUGACUGGGGCGGUCGCCUCCUAAAAGGUAACGGAGGCGCGCAAAGGUGUUCUCAGGCUGGUUGGAAAUCAGCCGUAGAGUGUAAAGGCAGAAGAACGCUUGACUGUGAGAGUGACAACUCAAGCAGGGUGGAAACACGGCCUUAGUGAUCCGACGGUAUGCGCGUGGAAGUGCCGUCGCUCAACGGAUAAAAGUUA